RNAcentral lists this ribosomal RNA (547 nucleotides) under Botrytis cinerea. Its description in RNAcentral is "eukaryotic LSU rRNA". The stretch from base 175 to 328 matches the Rfam family "5.8S ribosomal RNA". The record is from RNAcentral. Lineage: Eukaryota; Fungi; Ascomycota; Leotiomycetes; Helotiales; Sclerotiniaceae.
GUAGGUGAACCUGCGGAAGGAUCAUUACAGAGUUCAUGCCCGAAAGGGUAGACCUCCCACCCUUGUGUAUUAUUACUUUGUUGCUUUGGCGAGCUGCCUUCGGGCCUUGUAUGCUCGCCAGAGAAUACCAAAACUCUUUUUAUUAAUGUCGUCUGAGUACUAUAUAAUAGUUAAAACUUUCAACAACGGAUCUCUUGGUUCUGGCAUCGAUGAAGAACGCAGCGAAAUGCGAUAAGUAAUGUGAAUUGCAGAAUUCAGUGAAUCAUCGAAUCUUUGAACGCACAUUGCGCCCCUUGGUAUUCCGGGGGGCAUGCCUGUUCGAGCGUCAUUUCAACCCUCAAGCUUAGCUUGGUAUUGAGUCUAUGUCAGUAAUGGCAGGCUCUAAAAUCAGUGGCGGCGCCGCUGGGUCCUGAACGUAGUAAUAUCUCUCGUUACAGGUUCUCGGUGUGCUUCUGCCAAAACCCAAAUUUUUCUAUGGUUGACCUCGGAUCAGGUAGGGAUACCCGCUGAACUUAAGCAUAUCAAUAAGCGGAGGAACCAACAGGGA